This 2859-nucleotide ribosomal RNA is filed under the name Klebsiella pneumoniae. RNAcentral's name for it is "partial 23S ribosomal RNA". It matches the Rfam family "Bacterial large subunit ribosomal RNA". The record is from RNAcentral. Lineage: Bacteria; Pseudomonadati; Pseudomonadota; Gammaproteobacteria; Enterobacterales; Enterobacteriaceae.
GGUUAAGCGACUAAGCGUACACGGUGGAUGCCCUGGCAGUCAGAGGCGAUGAAGGACGUGCUAAUCUGCGAAAAGCGUCGGUAAGGUGAUAUGAACCGUUAUAACCGGCGAUGUCCGAAUGGGGAAACCCAGUGCAAUUCGUUGCACUAUCGUUAACUGAAUACAUAGGUUAACGAGGCGAACCGGGGGAACUGAAACAUCUAAGUACCCCGAGGAAAAGAAAUCAACCGAGAUUCCCCCAGUAGCGGCGAGCGAACGGGGAGCAGCCCAGAGUCUGAAUCAGCUUGUGUGUUAGUGGAACGGUCUGGAAAGUCCGACGGUACAGGGUGAUAGUCCCGUACACCAAAAUGCACAGGCUGUGAACUCGAAGAGUAGGGCGGGACACGUGGUAUCCUGUCUGAAUAUGGGGGGACCAUCCUCCAAGGCUAAAUACUCCUGACUGACCGAUAGUGAACCAGUACCGUGAGGGAAAGGCGAAAAGAACCCCGGCGAGGGGAGUGAAAAAGAACCUGAAACCGUGUACGUACAAGCAGUGGGAGCACCUUCGGGUGUGACUGCGUACCUUUUGUAUAAUGGGUCAGCGACUUAUAUUCUGUAGCAAGGUUAACCGUAUAGGGGAGCCGCAGGGAAACCGAGUCUUAACUGGGCGUUAAGUUGCAGGGUAUAGACCCGAAACCCGGUGAUCUAGCCAUGGGCAGGUUGAAGGUUGGGUAACACUAACUGGAGGACCGAACCGACUAAUGUUGAAAAAUUAGCGGAUGACUUGUGGCUGGGGGUGAAAGGCCAAUCAAACCGGGAGAUAGCUGGUUCUCCCCGAAAGCUAUUUAGGUAGCGCCUCGUGAACUCAUCUUCGGGGGUAGAGCACUGUUUCGGCUAGGGGGUCAUCCCGACUUACCAACCCGAUGCAAACUACGAAUACCGAAGAAUGUUAUCACGGGAGACACACGGCGGGUGCUAACGUCCGUCGUGAAGAGGGAAACAACCCAGACCGCCAGCUAAGGUCCCAAAGUCAUGGUUAAGUGGGAAACGAUGUGGGAAGGCACAGACAGCCAGGAUGUUGGCUUAGAAGCAGCCAUCAUUUAAAGAAAGCGUAAUAGCUCACUGGUCGAGUCGGCCUGCGCGGAAGAUGUAACGGGGCUAAACCAUGCACCGAAGCUGCGGCAGCGACACUAUGUGUUGUUGGGUAGGGGAGCGUUCUGUAAGCCUGCGAAGGUGUGCUGUGAGGCAUGCUGGAGGUAUCAGAAGUGCGAAUGCUGACAUAAGUAACGAUAAAGCGGGUGAAAAGCCCGCUCGCCGGAAGACCAAGGGUUCCUGUCCAACGUUAAUCGGGGCAGGGUGAGUCGACCCCUAAGGCGAGGCCGAAAGGCGUAGUCGAUGGGAAACAGGUUAAUAUUCCUGUACUUGGUGUUACUGCGAAGGGGGGACGGAGAAGGCUAUGUUAGCCGGGCGACGGUUGUCCCGGUUUAAGCAUGUAGGCUGAUUGUCCAGGCAAAUCCGGAUAAUCAAGGCUGAGGUGUGAUGACGAGGCACUACGGUGCUGAAGUAACAAAUGCCCUGCUUCCAGGAAAAGCCUCUAAGCAUCAGGUAACAUCAAAUCGUACCCCAAACCGACACAGGUGGUCAGGUAGAGAAUACCAAGGCGCUUGAGAGAACUCGGGUGAAGGAACUAGGCAAAAUGGUGCCGUAACUUCGGGAGAAGGCACGCUGGUGUGUAGGUGAAGUCCCUGCGGAUGGAGCUGAGACCAGUCGAAGAUACCAGCUGGCUGCAACUGUUUAUUAAAAACACAGCACUGUGCAAACACGAAAGUGGACGUAUACGGUGUGACGCCUGCCCGGUGCCGGAAGGUUAAUUGAUGGGGUUAUCCGUAAGGAGAAGCUCUUGAUCGAAGCCCCGGUAAACGGCGGCCGUAACUAUAACGGUCCUAAGGUAGCGAAAUUCCUUGUCGGGUAAGUUCCGACCUGCACGAAUGGCGUAAUGAUGGCCAGGCUGUCUCCACCCGAGACUCAGUGAAAUUGAACUCGCUGUGAAGAUGCAGUGUACCCGCGGCAAGACGGAAAGACCCCGUGAACCUUUACUAUAGCUUGACACUGAACAUUGAGCCUUGAUGUGUAGGAUAGGUGGGAGGCUUUGAAGCGUGGACGCCAGUCUGCGUGGAGCCAACCUUGAAAUACCACCCUUUAAUGUUUGAUGUUCUAACGUUGGCCCCUGACCGGGGUUGCGGACAGUGUCUGGUGGGUAGUUUGACUGGGGCGGUCUCCUCCCAAAGCGUAACGGAGGAGCACGAAGGUUAGCUAAUCCUGGUCGGACAUCAGGAGGUUAGUGCAAUGGCAUAAGCUAGCUUGACUGCGAGCGUGACGGCGCGAGCAGGUGCGAAAGCAGGUCAUAGUGAUCCGGUGGUUCUGAAUGGAAGGGCCAUCGCUCAACGGAUAAAAGGUACUCCGGGGAUAACAGGCUGAUACCGCCCAAGAGUUCAUAUCGACGGCGGUGUUUGGCACCUCGAUGUCGGCUCAUCACAUCCUGGGGCUGAAGUAGGUCCCAAGGGUAUGGCUGUUCGCCAUUUAAAGUGGUACGCGAGCUGGGUUUAGAACGUCGUGAGACAGUUCGGUCCCUAUCUGCCGUGGGCGCUGGAGAAUUGAGGGGGGCUGCUCCUAGUACGAGAGGACCGGAGUGGACGCAUCACUGGUGUUCGGGUUGUCAUGCCAAUGGCACUGCCCGGUAGCUAAAUGCGGAAGAGAUAAGUGCUGAAAGCAUCUAAGCACGAAACUUGCCCCGAGAUGAGUUCUCCCUGAGACUUUAAGUCUCCUGAAGGAACGUUAAAGACGAUGACGUUGAUAGGCCGGGUGUGUAAGCGCAGCGAU